RNAcentral lists this ribosomal RNA (492 nucleotides) under uncultured bacterium. Its description in RNAcentral is "partial 16S ribosomal RNA". It matches the Rfam family "Bacterial small subunit ribosomal RNA", at positions 30 to 507 of the family's 1533-position model. The record is from RNAcentral.
AGUGAACGCUGGCGGUAGGCCUAACACAUGCAAGUCGAACGGCAGCACAGUAAGAGCUUGCUCUUACGGGUGGCGAGUGGCGGACGGGUGAGGAAUACAUCGGAAUCUACUUUUUCGUGGGGGAUAACGUAGGGAAACUUACGCUAAUACCGCAUACGACCUACGGGUGAAAGCAGGGGAUCUUCGGACCUUGCGCGAUUGAAUGAGCCGAUGUCGGAUUAGCUAGUUGGCGGGGUAAAGGCCCACCAAGGCGACGAUCCGUAGCUGGACUGAGAGGAGGGUCGGCCGCACGGGAGCGGAGACGCGGUCCAGACUCCUGAGGGAGGGAGCAGUGGGGUAUGUGGGGCAAUGGGGGCAAGCCUGGUCCAGCCGUACCGCGUGGGUGAAGAAGGCCUCCGGGUUGUAAAGCCGUUUUGUGGGGAAAGAAAAGCAGCAGGUUGAUACGCCGCUGUUCUGACGGUACCCAAAGAAGAAGCACCGGCUAACUUCGUG